UAUAUCAGUUAACGUUUUCUAUAUAUCCAAUUAAGGUGUAAUACCACCAAAUCAUGGUACGUCACAUUCGGUUGUAUACGAAAGUAGGUCUAAAAAAAAUAUUCCCUUGAAUUUGACAGUUGUAGAAAAUUAACCUGCAUUUCAAUGCACUUAAUUUUUCUGAUCAUAAAACAUGUAUGUUGGGUGUCUGAAAGCAUCAUUCCUUUUUUAUUUGCUGGUCUUAUAAAAUAUUUUGGAAAGUUAAGGUUACAUAGUUACCAAAUCAGGUAACCAGUAAAUAACAGUGUAAAAUUGGUUGUUUACUUCCGGUGAUGGUUACUUUCUAUAUGCCAAUGAGAAUGUAGUGUGAAAUUUUCACUGUGCACUGGAAAGGAUUAAACUUUAUACAUGCAAAGUAUUUCUUUGGUUGAAUAAAAGGUAAAUACUGAAUUUUUUAAAGUGCCAAUUUAACAAAGACUAAUAGGGGAAAAUCAAUGGUGGUAUUACACCUUAAUAGUUUUAAAAACAUGCUUUGUAAAUUCACUAUUUCCUUUUUGUAAAAUGGUGAAGUGUCGUUCUUUUAUGUGCAGUAAAAUUUCAAUCAUUAUUACAUUAUGCCCCAAUUAUAAUUUUAAAAUAACUUCCCUUUUUGUCUUAAAAUUCUUGGUUUCUCUAGUUGAAUAAAUGUAAUAGUUACGUGUAAAGAGGUCUUUAUCAGGGAAAGAUGUUCUUCCCUUUGGUACAGUAGAAUUAGCCCCAACAUUGAUAAUGCCUACGCCAGUGGCUUCAGUUUUAUUAAUGUUUCUGCUAACAAUACCUACUUGGGCAGAUGAUACAUGAUGAUGAUGAUAACUCCCUCUUCAUAAGUAUCUAUUAAGGAAAUAAUCUUAUUUAAAUAUCUGUAUGUAGAUUUUAGAUCUUACUUGUUCUGGAUUAAAACAUCACGAAUAGGAAUUUUUAAUUACAUUUGUCUGUUUAUAUUAAAAAAAUCAUAAGGAAAAUAACAAACCAAUUGAUGGAAAGACAAGACUGUUAAAAAGACAAAAACAAAGCAAUGAAUAAUUUUGAAAACAAUAUCGACCUACAUGCACAUCAAUACUUGUGUACAUAUGUAAUUGUGGAAUAUGAAAAAAAUAAUCAACCUUUCUCAUUAUAAAAAUAAACUCGGCAGUUUACACAGAAAAUUUGACAUCAACAAACCAAAUACAUGUGUACAACAUCAUGUUUUACCAACCCUUUAUACAAUUGAAUGUUGUUUUGCAUUUACAACAAUGUUUAAUGAAUUAUAAAUUGAAUAUGCAUGUCCAUAAGGCACAAUACUAAGUGUGUACUCCUGAAACUUGAUAUUUUUUUCAUUAAUUUUAUAUAUAUUUACAAAAUAAACAUUACAAAUCUACAGAAAUCACAUUGCACUAAAAAAAACUACAGGUUGUACUACAUUAAGACAGGUAACACUUAUAAAGUGAUAAAAACAUAGAAAUAUGUUUGUUUUGUACAUAAAGCCAUCUGCAAUACAAAAUAAGUUUUUUCUUUAUCUUUUCUUGUUUAAUUCUUAAAUAAUUGAUACAUGUUUUAAUGGAACAGCACUAAGCAUGUUUAAGAUUUCUCAGAUACCUAAUAUAAAUAUGCAACAAUAUUUAUUUUCUGCCAUGUACUAUUUUCUAUUAAAUUUAUAUAAAUCAAUGUUUGGCUUAACUAUUAUAAUUCUAUAUAAAUUUUAAAAACAGAUCAACAGUGUAUAAAAAUAUAUGGAAUGUAAGAAAUAUUUUAAACAAAAAAGUAAAAACAUAACUUAAGGAUAUGUUACAAAUAUUAUAAAAGCCACUACUGUACUUAUAUAUGAUAAAAAUUUUGGUAAAAAAUACUUUUUAAACCACACUUAAUUUACCAGUUUUCUUUGGGUUUAUUUCAAUAACAAAAAGGCAAGUUAAAAAUUUUGUUUUAUUUUUUGUUUCCUGCUAAAUACUGAUUAAAUGACAAAUUAUGAUAAUAAAACAAUACAGUUGUCUAUUUUUUUUUAAUUCACCUUUUAGUAAUAGGGGAGUAAAAAGUGUGGGUAAAUAGAUGUUUUCCAUACAAUUUUAAUCAUGGAAUUACACAACAAGAACAUCAAAGAACAGAAAAUAUGAGUGUGGUCUAAAGAUACAAAUGUACAUCUAUAAAUAUAUCAUCAUGCUUCAAAUGAAAAGAUGUCUUCAAAGCAAAAACAACAGCAAAGUAUAUCACAUGCUAUUAUUUACAAUAUUACAUUAAAAUUCAUAUUGUCACCAGCCGACCACUGCUAUUAAAAAAACACUUCUCUUGUGUUGAAAAAAAUACUGAAGGAUGGUAAUAUGAGGGGAAAAAAACAUCAUAGAUCUAAUAAUCACAUCAUUAAAAAUGGAUUUAAGUUUAAGUUAUGAGGUGUUCUCUUUCAGCCACUGAGGCUUUGAAUUAUGUAUUUCAAUAUUUUAAAUCAAAAUAAUUAGCAAGUCAGUGCUCUCUGGGAAACUUUACCUAGCCUGUAAUUACAGUUAAAAAAAGGUUUAUAUAAGUUCACAGAUUCAGGAAAUAAUAAUAUAAAGAAAGAUAUAAUGGUGUGUGAACGAUCUAAUAUUAUAUAAUUUCAUUAUUUUGUAAUAUAAGGCCAGACAGAUCUUCGCCAUUUAUUAAAUUAUUUGGAAUGUUUUCAGUUUAAUUACAUAAAUUUUACAUGUACAGUCUUGUAUGUCAUACUCAAGUACACAAAAUGUUUCAAUGACUAUUCAUGACUAAAAACAUGACAAUUGUUACAAAAUUAACCAAAAUAGCUACACUUAUACUGAAAAUGGAUAAAACUGUUUCAAAACUUACUGGAUAAAGAGAGUGGAAACUGUGAAUUCUAUAACUUAAAUGGAUAUUAGUUUUGAAGGCCGAAUUUUUUUCUUCAAAAUUAUGAAUUCAAGACUUUAUUUUCUGUUUUUGGUGAAUAUGUCAUGUA
This 2938-nucleotide long non-coding RNA is filed under the name Mytilus galloprovincialis (Mediterranean mussel). The record is from RNAcentral. Lineage: Eukaryota; Metazoa; Mollusca; Bivalvia; Mytilida; Mytilidae.